AUGUAUGCACGAAAUGAACUACAUAACGAUGGACAUGCAUACAUAUACAUUUUGCAGGUCAAGGAGAGUAACUACGCAAGGAUCUGCGAGCAGAAAAGCAUGCUCACCGUGAACGGCCAGUUCCCCGGCCCGACGAUCACCGCGUGGAAAGGGGAGGUCUUCAUUGUCAACGUCUACAACCAGGGCAAUAAACCCAUCACCAUCCACUGGUAA
This 213-nucleotide ribosomal RNA is filed under the name Triticum aestivum (bread wheat). RNAcentral describes it as "partial small subunit ribosomal RNA". The record is from RNAcentral. Lineage: Eukaryota; Viridiplantae; Streptophyta; Magnoliopsida; Poales; Poaceae.